UACGGAAGGUGCAAGCGUUGUUCGGAAUGACUGGGCGUAAAGCGCACGUAGGCGGUUUUGUAAGUCGGGUGUGAAAGCCCUGGGCUCAACCUAGGAACAGCACUCGAAACUGCGAAUCUUGAAUGCUUGAGAGGUUGGUGGAAUUCCUGGUGUAGGAGUGAAAUCCGUAGAUAUCAGGAGGAACAUCGGUGGCGAAGGCGACCAACUGGUGAUGCAUUGACGCUGAGGUGCGAAAGCGUGGGGAGCAAACAGG
RNAcentral lists this ribosomal RNA (253 nucleotides) under uncultured bacterium. RNAcentral's name for it is "partial 16S ribosomal RNA". It matches the Rfam family "Bacterial small subunit ribosomal RNA", at positions 524 to 776 of the family's 1533-position model. The record is from RNAcentral.